AAGUGCAGAAUUGGAAAAAUUAUGGGAAUCCUUCAUGGCAUGUGGUCUUCUAUCCAGGUGGCUUCAGGCCAGGAGUGGGGCUGCUUAUUGCGGUAUUCUAGGAGGUAAGAAGAGGAAAGUCGCUACGACUGCAGUAAAUACAGAAGACAAAGGCCUGAACAUCUGGCAGCAUCUGGGUCCCAGAUACCCUGAAGAUUUCAUAAAGAGGAGUGCUUGUUGUUGAUAAGAGUCAAGCUGGGUCAGCCUUGCAGAUGACCAGUCACCCUCUGCAAGUUGUCUCUUUGGCUGCAAAUGGCUCAAGACCAUGCUGAAACUUAUACCUGUUCUGCUUUUGGAAGCUGCUUGCUUGCUGACCGUAAAAAGUGUUGAUGGCCUGUUUCUGUUAGGAAAUGUCCAAGACCCUGUAGUAUAGAGAGAAACUGCUUCAUCAUUAGUACUGACCUUGUGCAUAAGUCAAGAACCUAAACUCCCUGUAUGGUAUUAAUCCCUACCAACUGUACUGGGUGUCUGAAACUGCAUUAUUGGGAAGUUCCUUUGGUUACUUUGCCCUCUUGGAGAAGCUAAGAAUUAUAGUUAAGAACAUGGAGUCAGAUUGACCGGAUAUAAAUUCUGGAUACAUCACCUACUAGCUGUGUUUCCCUAGGAAAAUAACCUAAUCUCUCUGUGCUGUGGUUUCUACUUCUGUAAAGUGGGGAUAAUUAUAGCAUCAACAACCUCAUGGGCUGUUUGAGGAACAAAUAGCUGAAUAAUCUACAAAAUGAGAAGAACAGCUAUUGGACACAUAAUUCACAUAAUUAUCAUUCACAAUAUUACUUAUUCUUACCAGAGAGAAGAAGAUCCUAAAAAUUUCCAGAGAGAAACAACAUUUACACAAAGCAUUGAGAAUAAGAAAAUGACAGUGACAUAUCAACAGUAACACUGGAAACCAGGAGUAAAAGCAACAAUGCCCACAAAAUUAACUUCUACUUAGAAUGACAUGCCCUGACAAAUCAAGCAUGAGGACAUAAUAAACAUAUUUACGUAAA
Molecule: non-coding RNA, 1025 nt
Organism: Macaca mulatta (Rhesus monkey)
Lineage: Eukaryota; Metazoa; Chordata; Mammalia; Primates; Cercopithecidae
Source: RefSeq, a predicted model, not a curated record